This 2845-nucleotide small RNA is filed under the name Pan troglodytes (chimpanzee). Its description in RNAcentral is "retained intron". The record is from RNAcentral. Lineage: Eukaryota; Metazoa; Chordata; Mammalia; Primates; Hominidae.
GAGCAGUUAGUGAGCAGCUUCUGGGGUGGAGGCUCUGCAGCUGGCGCCGGGGCCCUGGGCCGAUUCCUCAGCCUCUGAGGCCUCACCUUUGGCGUGGGGAAAUAAACGCGUGCACUCUGCAGGAGUAUUGUGAGGGUGGUCAUGUAUUCGGGACAGUGCCCGGCAUGCAGUGUUAGCUGGAAGAGUGUUAGCUGUUGCGAUUAUUAUAGUCCUUUCUCCACUCUUAUAAUUCCCAGGAGUCUCUUUCUCUCUGGGAAUGUAAGUUCCAGGAGGAUGAGGACCGCUAGUGGUUCCAGUGAGCCCCCUGCAUGUCCCAGGCACUGGCCAUGCCCUCCAGGGCUUCCGUUUGGCCAGGGAGCAGUGGCCCGAGCCGCCCCAUGCCCAGCAUAUUCACACAGUGCUGUGGGGAGGCCACCGCUACCCAGGAAGAGGGGUGCAGUCAGCUCAGGGAGACUCCACAGAAGAGGCACCGGUGCAAUGUGGUGGGAAGGAUGAGGACCUUGCCGGGCCUAAUUCGUCCUUGUCUGGAGAACUGGGCGCCUCCUCACUGUUCCCUGGGCUCCCUGGACAGAACCUGUCGGAGCUGGACACCAAGAUCCAGGAGAAAGCCAUGAAGGUGGAUAUGGACAUCUGCCGCCGCAUCGACAUCACCGCCAAGCUCUGCGAUGUGGCUCAGCAGCGCAACUGCGAGGACAUGAUCCAGAUGUUCCAGGUCCCAUCCAUGGGGGGGCGGAAGCGGGAGCGCAAGGCUGCCGUCGAGGAGGACACCUCCCUGUCGGAGAGUGAGGGGCCCCGCCAGCCCGAUGGGGAUGAGGAGGAGAGCACAGCCCUCAGCAUCAACGAGGAGAUGCAGCGCAUGCUCAACCAGCUGAGGGAGUAUGAUUUUGAGGACGACUGUGACAGCCUGACUUGGGAGGAGACUGAGGAGACCCUGCUGCUUUGGGAGGAUUUCUCAGGCUAUGCCAUGGCAGCUGCAGAGGCCCAGGGAGAGCAGGAAGAUAGCCUGGAGAAGGUGAUUAAAGAUACGGAGUCCCUGUUCAAAACCCGGGAGAAGGAGUAUCAGGAGACCAUUGACCAGAUAGAGCUGGAGUUGGCCACGGCCAAGAACGACAUGAACCGGCACCUGCACGAGUACAUGGAGAUGUGCAGCAUGAAGCGCGGCCUGGACGUGCAGAUGGAGACCUGCCGCCGGCUCAUCACCCAGUCUGGAGACCGAAAGUCUCCUGCUUUCGCUGCGGUCCCGCUUAGCGACCCGCCGCCGCCGCCGCCAAGCGAGGCUGAGGACUCCGAUCGCGAUGUCUCAUCUGACAGCUCCAUGAGAUAGAGACCUGCCUCCCCCUUGCACCCGAGGCCCUCGCAGCGGGGACCUCAGCGAGGCAGAGGGUGGGGCUGCACAGAGGGGAACAUCAGCUGCAGCUCUGCACCAGGCCGGCCCCUGGGGACUGGGGCGCUCCUCCCUCAGGCUUUCUCCCUCGGUCUUGGCUUCUCCAGGGCUCUGGGGUGUCUGGAGCUAGGCUUGGCCCUACCAUUCUGGGGCCAUUUCCACCACAGUUGGGGCUCUCCUGCCUUCACGCGUGGGUGUCUGCUACUUCCCCAUCUUUAAAAUGCUGCCAGAGCGAUUGCGGCCCCUCACCUUGUCCACGUAUCAGGAAUGUGAAUGUGGGACCUUUCCUCCAUCCCUGUUGUCCGGAGCCAGCUCACUGUCUUCCACACUGGUGCUAACUGGCCCAGGCACUGGAGUGGAAUAGAAUGCAGCUGGAGGCUACGCAUGGCCUCUGCAGCACACGCAGCUGGAGAGGGCUUCUGUCCCUGUCAGCGGCAGAGGGCGUUGGGGCUGGCCGGGGCACCUUGUCCCUGCUAUGGUCCACAUGCUCACGCUGUCCACCUGCCAGGUGGAGUGUAUGUGGCUGUGGCCCUCCCUCGUGGAGGUGCCGUGCUUUAAAGAGGCCUUAGUGCCCGGGAUGGGCACAGUGUUUUGAAGGGAGGUGGGAGCUCUUGCUCUCCUGGUCACUGCAGAAUGACAGAGAAGGUGAAGCUCCGUGCAUGUGUGCGCGGGUGUAUGUGCGCUCAGGGUCUCUGUUUAAGUAUCAGCUAAAGAUGUGCCCCCUCCAUGUCUGUCAUACACUGAGACCAACAGGCUACAGUGUCCCUGAUUCUUGGAAAAGCCUGGAGAAGCUGGGGAGAUGCGGUUCACAAUGCCUCGGUAUAGGAGGCUGUGUUGAGCUGACAUUCAAAUGGAUUCUUUAAUAAUAAUGAAACUGGCGAGUAUUUAUUGUGCACUUUGGUGUCACUGUCUCAAGCACUUCCUAAUAUUCACUAGUUUGAACUCUGAGGUAGGUACUUUUUUUUUUUUGAGAUGGAGUCUCAUACUCUGUUGCCUAGGCUGGAGUGCAGUGGUGUGGUCUCAGCUCACUGCAGCCUCUGCCUCCGGGGUGCAAGCGAUUCUCCUGCUUCAGCACGCCUGUAGCUGGGACUAUAGGCAUGUGCCAUGAAGCCUGGCUGAUUUUUGUAAUUUUAGUAGAGACGGAGUUUCACCAUGUUGGCCAGGCUGGUCUCAAACUCCUGACCUCAGGUGAUACACCCACCUUGGCCUCCCAAAGUGCUGGGGUUACAGGCGUGCGCGCUCUACCGAGGUAUGUACUUUUGUCUCCACUAGGUAAGCGCAUGUGCAAAGUGAGGCCCGGGAGUAACUGCCCAAAGCAACCGAGCCAUUCAGUGGCAGAGCCAGGGGUCUGGACCUAGGUCCCAGCUACACGCCUUGCCCCUACCCAAGCUCCCCUAAGGACGAUGAUGGAAAUAAGUCACCCUGACACAUCUCAGUUCAUCUUCCUCAAAACUAUGCGAG